GGGGGAUUAGGGUUCGAUUCCGGAGAGGGAGCCUGAGAAAUAGCUACCACUUCUACGGAGGGCAGCAGGCGCGCAAAUUGCCCAAUGUCAAAAAAAAACGAUGAGGCAGCGAAAAGAAAUAGAGCCGACAGUACCUUUUGGUAUUGUCGUUUUCAAUGGGGGAUAUUUAAACCCAUCCAAAAUCGAGUAACAAUUGGAGGACAAGUCUGGUGCCAG
RNAcentral lists this ribosomal RNA (216 nucleotides) under Trypanosoma sp. Its description in RNAcentral is "partial small subunit ribosomal RNA". It matches the Rfam family "Eukaryotic small subunit ribosomal RNA", at positions 364 to 570 of the family's 1831-position model. The record is from RNAcentral. RNAcentral also lists the same sequence under 1 other name. Lineage: Eukaryota; Euglenozoa; Kinetoplastea; Trypanosomatida; Trypanosomatidae.